RNAcentral lists this ribosomal RNA (423 nucleotides) under uncultured bacterium. RNAcentral's name for it is "bacterial SSU rRNA". It matches the Rfam family "Bacterial small subunit ribosomal RNA", at positions 358 to 773 of the family's 1533-position model. The record is from RNAcentral.
GGAAUAUUGGACAAUGGGGGCAACCCUGAUCCAGCAAUGCCGCGUGUGUGAAGAAGGCCUGCGGGUUGUAAAGCACUUUCGGUGGGGAGGAAAAGCGCGGUGCCAAUACCACCGUGUGUUGACGUUACCCAUAGAAGAAGCACCGGCUAACUCCGUGCCAGCAGCCGCGGUAAUACGGAGGGUGCGAGCGUUAAUCGGAAUUACUGGGCGUAAAGCGCGCGUAGGCGGUUUGUUAAGUCAGAUGUGAAAUCCCCGGGCUCAACCUGGGAAUGGCAUUUGAGACUGGCAGGCUAGAGUGUGGUAGAGGUGAGUGGAAUUUCAGGUGUAGCGGUGAAAUGCGUAGAGAUCUGAAGGAACAUCAGUGGCGAAGGCGACUCACUGGGCCAUUACUGACGCUGAGGUGCGAAAGCGUGGGUAGCAAAC